UUCGCCCUUAGAGUUUGAUCCUGGCUCAGGACGAACGCUGGCGGCGCGCCUAACACAUGCAAGUCGAACGAGCGAGAGAGAGCUUGCUUUCUCGAGCGAGUGGCGAACGGGUGAGUAACGCGUGAGGAACCUGCCUCAAAGAGGGGGACAACAGUUGGAAACGACUGCUAAUACCGCAUAAGCCCACGGCUCGGCAUCGAGCAGAGGGAAAAGGAGCAAUCCGCUUUGAGAUGGCCUCGCGUCCGAUUAGCUAGUUGGUGAGGUAAUGGCCCACCAAGGCGACGAUCGGUAGCCGGACUGAGAGGUUGAACGGCCACAUUGGGACUGAGACACGGCCCAGACUCCUACGGGAGGCAGCAGUGGGGAAUAUUGCACAAUGGGGGAAACCCUGAUGCAGCGACGCCGCGUGGAGGAAGAAGGUCUUCGGAUUGUAAACUCCUGUUGUUGAGGAAGAUAAUGACGGUACUCAACAAGGAAGUGACGGCUAACUACGUGCCAGCAGCCGCGGUAAAACGUAGGUCACAAGCGUUGUCCGGAAUUACUGGGUGUAAAGGGAGCGCAGGCGGGAAGACAAGUUGGAAGUGAAAUCCAUGGGCUCAACCCAUGAACUGCUUUCAAAACUGUUUUUCUUGAGUAGUGCAGAGGUAGGCGGAAUUCCCGGUGUAGCGGUGGAAUGCGUAGAUAUCGGGAGGAACACCAGUGGCGAAGGCGGCCUACUGGGCACCAACUGACGCUGAGGCUCGAAAGUGUGGGUAGCAAACAGGAUUAGAUACCCUGGUAGUCCACACUGUAAACGAUGAUUACUAGGUGUUGGAGGUUUGUCCCCUUCAGUGCCGCAGUUAACACAAUUAAGUAAUCCACCUGGGGAGUGCGACCGCAAGGUUGAAACUCAAAGGAAUGGACGGGGGCCCGCACAAGCAGUGGAGUAUGUGGUUUAAUUUGACGCAACGCGAAGAACCUUACCAAGUCUUGACAUCCUGCGACGGUAUAAUGGAAACAGAACUUUCCUUCGGGACGCAGAGACAGGUGGUGCAUGGUUGUCGUCAGCUCGUGUCGUGAGAUGUUGGGUUAAGUCCCGCAACGAGCGCAACCCCUAUUGUUAGUUGCUACGAAAGAGCACUCUAGCGAGACUGCCGUUGACAAAACGGAGGAAGGCGGGGACGACGUCAAAUCAUCAUGCCCCUUAUGUCCUGGGCUACACACGUAAUACAAUGGUGGCCAACAGAGGGAAGCGAAGCCGCGAGGUGGAGCAAAUCCCCAAAAGCCAUCUCAGUUCGGAUUGCAGGCUGCAACUCGCCUGCAUGAAGCUGGAAUUGCUAGUAAUCGCGGAUCAGCAUGCAGCGGUGAAUACGUUCCCGGGCCUUGCACUCACCGCCCGUCA
Molecule: ribosomal RNA, 1381 nt
Filed under: uncultured bacterium
Lineage: Bacteria
Description: 16S ribosomal RNA
Rfam family: Bacterial small subunit ribosomal RNA
Source: RNAcentral